This 320-nucleotide ribosomal RNA is filed under the name uncultured Butyrivibrio sp. RNAcentral's name for it is "bacterial SSU rRNA". It matches the Rfam family "Bacterial small subunit ribosomal RNA", at positions 28 to 339 of the family's 1533-position model. Lineage: Bacteria; Bacillati; Bacillota; Clostridia; Lachnospirales; Lachnospiraceae. The record is from RNAcentral.
GAUGAACGCUGGCGGCGUGCCUAACACAUGCAAGUCGAACGGGGUUAAGGGAAAUUUUCGGAUGGAACUUAACUUAGUGGCGGACGGGUGAGUAACGCGUGGAUAACCUGCCUCACACAGGGGGAUAGCAGCUGGAAACGGCUGGUAAUACCGCAUAAGACCACGACCCCGCAUGGGGUUGUGGUAAAAGAUUUAUCGGUGUGAGAUGGAUCCGCGUCUGAUUAGCUAGUUGGUGAGGUAACGGCCCACCAAGGCGACGAUCAGUAGCCGGCCUGAGAGGGUGAACGGCCACAUUGGAACUGAGACACGGUCCAAACUCC